AUUGGGUAGGGGAGCGUUCUGUAAGCCGUUGAAGGUGAAUCGUAAGGUUUGCUGGAGGUAUCAGAAGUGCGAAUGCUGACAUGAGUAACGACAAAGGGGGUGAAAAACCUCCUCGCCGGAAGACCAAGGGUUCCUGUCCAACGUUAAUCGGGGCAGGGUGAGUCGACCCCUAAGGUGAGGCCGAAAGGCGUAAUCGAUGGGAAACGGGUUAAUAUUCCCGUACUUCUGACUAUUGCGAUGGGGGGACGGAGAAGGCUAGGUGGGCCAGGCGACGGUUGUCCUGGUUCAAGUGCGUAGGCUUGAGAGUUAGGUAAAUCCGGCUCUCUCUAAGGCUGAGACACGACGUCGAGCUACUACGGUAGUGAAGUCAUUGAUGCCAUGCUUCCAGGAAAAGCCUCUAAGCUUCAGAUAGUCAGGAAUCGUACCCCAAACCGACACAGGUGGUCGGGUAGAGAAUACCAAGGCGCUUGAGAGAACUCGGGUGAAGGAACUAGGCAAAAUGGUACCGUAACUUCGGGAGAAGGUACGCUCUUGAUGGUGAAGUCCCUCGCGGAUGGAGCUGACGAGAGUCGCAGAUACCAGGUGGCUGCAACUGUUUAUUAAAAACACAGCACUGUGCAAAAUCGCAAGAUGACGUAUACGGUGUGACGCCUGCCCGGUGCCGGAAGGUUAAUUGAUGGGGUUAGCGCAAGCGAAGCUCUUGAUCGAAGCCCCGGUAAACGGCGGCCGUAACUAUAACGGUCCUAAGGUAGCGAAAUUCCUUGUCGGGUAAGUUCCGACCUGCACGAAUGGCGUAAUGAUGGCCACGCUGUCUCCACCCGAGACUCAGUGAAAUUGAAAUCGCUGUGAAGAUGCAGUGUACCCGCGGCUAGACGGAAAGACCCCGUGAACCUUUACUACAGCUUGGCACUGAACAUUGAACCUACAUGUGUAGGAUAGGUGGGAGGCUAUGAAGACGUGACGCCAGUUGCGUUGGAGCCGUCCUUGAAAUACCACCCUUGUAUGUUUGAUGUUCUAACUUAGACCC
RNAcentral lists this ribosomal RNA (1027 nucleotides) under Vibrio cholerae. RNAcentral describes it as "partial 23S ribosomal RNA". It matches the Rfam family "Bacterial large subunit ribosomal RNA", at positions 1223 to 2234 of the family's 2925-position model. The record is from RNAcentral. RNAcentral also lists the same sequence under 1 other name. Lineage: Bacteria; Pseudomonadati; Pseudomonadota; Gammaproteobacteria; Vibrionales; Vibrionaceae.